AGCAUUCACCCUGUUACAGGCAACAAAGUUAUUCCUCCUCCUAUCCAUGGACACAUUAUGAGCCCAUUUUCAAAACUGAGGUGGCAACGAAGCAGAGUGGCAUCUAAUCCAUUUCUAAGAGACAGAGACUGUCUCACUAUCUGAUGACGUCUCAUCUCAGCCUGCUGUCUUCAGAGAGUGGCCUGUGCAGAGAACGUGAACUGUAAGAGGAGAUACCAGCAAAUCCAGGGCUUCUGAAAUACAAAGAUGCUGUAUGAUAGCAGAAUUCCAGGCAAGGGUGAAUGGCUUUGAGGAAGAUUGGAGAUUCUGAAGAUUCUCACUUCUUGAUUGAGUUACAACAUAAAGUGCUAUCAGUUAAAGAGCUUUCAGCUUACCCCGGCUCCAGGAUUGGAGGCAGCCUCCCAGAAAGUAUGACAA
Molecule: non-coding RNA, 417 nt
Organism: Manis javanica (Malayan pangolin)
Lineage: Eukaryota; Metazoa; Chordata; Mammalia; Pholidota; Manidae
Source: RefSeq, a predicted model, not a curated record